CACCAACCAUUACCAUUAGAUUAAAAGUAAUCCAACGAUUGUAAAAUAAGACAUAAUCCCAACAGUUUUCUUCAAUCUUAAGGGCUUUACACUCGUUUCUACUGUUGUUACUAAGGGAGUUGCACUUAUUACUUUGUCUUUGUUAGAGGCCGAAUGCCUUCGUUGUGGCGUUUCUUGACUUUGGUGUCAUUUGCAGAAUUUUAUUGAAUUCCUUUUGCCUUUUUGGCUUCAAAACAAACACAUACAUUCACAUCAACCACAAACGUCUACGUCGGCAUGCUUAAAAUUUACUCACUUAACAAACUUUUAUUCUUCUAUAAAGCCGGUGUAUACGAUGCAGAGCCAACCACCUCUUUUUGUUUCCUUUCUUAAUUACGAGAAUUACUACCAGAUGGGGACGGAGAUUUUACGCCCUCAAGACUGUUUAGUCGAACGCAGGAGAGUAUGCCCGGUGGCCUUGCCUCGCCAUAAGCCUUACGCCAAUAACUCCAGAUCUUGCCAGAGACAAGCCAUCCAACCUGAACCUAGAAAACGCUUCCCUCAAGAAGAGCCCUUGAUUUCGAAGAAAUAGACCACAAGCUCUAGUGAUUCAAGACCGUCGUCCUCAUCGUCGAAGGGUUUGGUUGUGGGAUAUGUGAUCAUCUUAAAAUGCUACAAGACUCUUCAAUCCAAUAGAAGGAAUGAAUAUUUUGCUAACAAGACCAUAGUUCCGAGCGGGGAAGAGGAUAUGGGAUGUGAAUCUUCUACUCUGUUGUUAGGGGUUAGAGUUGGGACUGAGGAGUAGCCAUCUCGAGGUAGAGAGGGUGAGUGGCUGGUUCCAGACAACAUGAACAAAGGAUCUUCAGGUCUUGGCUUUAUAUAAUUUGUUUGCUUUUGGAUUUGAAAAUUCAUGUCUAGACUCUGGAGAGAGAGAGAGAGAUAGAGAGAGCUGCAACUGUUGUGGAUGGAGAUUGGAUAAGAGAGAGAGGAGACUGACGGACAAAUUGACGAUGAAGCUUUGAUUUGGAGUGGAUUUGGAUGAAUCUGCGGCAGUUUGCAAUUUGCAAUGCACCCGGGUUUGUAGAAAACAAGGAAACUGCCUCCGGUUUUUUGGUUUGGUUGGUUCAGCGCUUCACUUCCCUACUGUGGAACUGAAACUGGAACUUGCUUAUGCGUUCACGACACCGGUGGAAUUGGCGAGGCGUUGCCAGUGAACCGCAUGGGUGAGCUUUGGCUUCGUGGUCCCAACGUUAUGAAAGGUAAAAGGCAAAAAGGAUGAGAUCUCAUACCCAUCCACACCCACCGCCAGUGGCUUCUGCGUUCAGUGAGAUCGCCGAUCGCAGGUGGAUGCUUUUGGUAAAGGGGUUGGCGGAGGAAAGAAUGGGAGGAAGAAGAAUAUAAGGUGUAUUUUUUAAGUUUUUUUGUCUUUUUGUGUUCGGUUCAACUGGAUUCUUUAAUAAACGUCCGUUAAGUUAAUAAAUUUUAAAC
Nelumbo nucifera (sacred lotus) is the source of this 1467-nucleotide non-coding RNA. The record is from RefSeq and is a predicted model, not a curated record. NCBI's taxonomy places the organism in Eukaryota, Viridiplantae, Streptophyta, Magnoliopsida, Proteales, Nelumbonaceae.